Molecule: ribosomal RNA, 592 nt
Filed under: Garra gotyla (sucker head)
Lineage: Eukaryota; Metazoa; Chordata; Actinopteri; Cypriniformes; Cyprinidae
Description: partial 16S ribosomal RNA
Rfam family: Bacterial large subunit ribosomal RNA
Source: RNAcentral
AAAACAUCGCCUCCUGCAAUACACCACACAUAGGAGGUCCAGCCUGCCCAGUGACUACAAGUUCAACGGCCGCGGUAUUCUGACCGUGCAAAGGUAGCGCAAUCACUUGUCUUUUAAAUAGAGACCUGUAUGAAUGGCCAAACGAAGGCUUAACUGUCUCCCCUCUCAAGUCAGUAAAAUUGAUCUAUCCGUGCAGAAGCGGGUAUAAUAAUACAAGACGAGAAGACCCUUUGGAGCUUAAGGUACAAAAUUUAAUCACGUCAAGCAACUCAAUAUAAAAGUAAAAACUUUGUAGAACAUAAAAAUUUACCUUCGGUUGGGGCGACCACGGAGAAAAACAAAACCUCCAAGUGGACUGGGAUAAUUUUCCUAAAACCAAGAGAGACAUCUCUAAGCCACAGAACAUCUGACCAAGAAUGAUCCGGCCACAAAAGCCGAUCAACGAACCAAGUUACCCUAGGGAUAACAGCGCAAUCCUCUCCCAGAGCCCAUAUCGACGAGGGGGUUUACGACCUCGAUGUUGGAUCAGGACACCCUAAUGGUGUAGCCGCUAUUAAGGGUUCGUUUGUUCAACGAUUAAAGUCCUACGUGA